This 218-nucleotide long non-coding RNA is filed under the name Setaria italica (foxtail millet). RNAcentral describes it as "long non-coding RNA (SITA_LNC007274)". The record is from RNAcentral. Lineage: Eukaryota; Viridiplantae; Streptophyta; Magnoliopsida; Poales; Poaceae.
CGAGCGUCUACGUCUGCGUCCCGGCCGGCCCCGACCCCCGGGGGCACGAUUCGGCGCCAAAUGGGUACGGGCCAGGAGCAAGGGAACGCGGGGGGUGCAGGGCACCCGAGGUGAUUUUCGCCGGUUCUCACGACACCUCUCGUUCGUGCGGCGCGGAGAGCAUGGCGGCGUGGCGCCGUGUCGCGCUGUCGGGCAGGCGAGUGGAGUGGGCACCCGGG